Tribolium madens (black flour beetle) is the source of this 217-nucleotide long non-coding RNA. RefSeq lists it as uncharacterized. NCBI's taxonomy places the organism in Eukaryota, Metazoa, Arthropoda, Insecta, Coleoptera, Tenebrionidae. The transcript has 2 exons. The record is from RefSeq and is a predicted model, not a curated record.
GAGGAAUUUUCGCAUUAUAGUGUUUAAUCCAUUGUUAAACCCAAAACAAGCAUCAUGUUUAAACUUUUGUUGGUAAAAGCUGUAAUUGCUAUUAUUGUAAUUACAUCUGUGAUGUAUACAAUUUCUGCAGUAGAGGAGAAGAAACGCGUGGUGGGUUAAUUAAAGAAAAUGUGUCAGCUAUCGUAAUAAGUCUUGAAUAAAAAAAUUAAACUAUGUA